GACGAACGCUGGCGGCGUGCCUAAUACAUGCAAGUCGAACGCUGAAGGAGGAGCUUGCUUCUCUGGAUGAGUUGCGAACGGGUGAGUAACGCGUAGGUAACCUGCCUGGUAGCGGGGGAUAACUAUUGGAAACGAUAGCUAAUACCGCAUAAGAGUAGAUGUCGCAUGACAUUUGCUUAAAAGGUGCAAUUGCAUCACUACCAGAUGGCCCUGCGUUGUAUUAGCUAGUUGGUGAGGUAACGGCUCACCAAGGCAACGAUACAUAGCCGACCUGAGAGGGUGAUCGGCCACACUGGGACUGAGACACGGCCCAGACUCCUACGGGAGGCAGCAGUAGGGAAUCUUCGGCAAUGGACGGAAGUCUGACCGAGCAACGCCGCGUGAGUGAAGAAGGUUUUCGGAUCGUAAAGCUCUGUUGUAAGAGAAGAACGAGUGUGAGAGUGGAAAGUUCACACUGUGACGGUAUCUGACCAGAAAGGGACGGCUAACUACGUG
Molecule: ribosomal RNA, 495 nt
Filed under: uncultured bacterium
Lineage: Bacteria
Description: partial 16S ribosomal RNA
Rfam family: Bacterial small subunit ribosomal RNA
Source: RNAcentral